UACGUAGGGUGCAAGCGUUAAUCGGAAUUACUGGGCGUAAAGCGUGCGCAGGCGGUUUUGUAAGUCAGAUGUGAAAUCCCCGGGCUUAACCUGGGAACUGCGUUUGAAACUACAAGGCUAGAGUGUGACAGAGGGGGGUGGAAUUCCACGUGUAGCAGUGAAAUGCGUAGAUAUGUGGAGGAACACCGAUGGCGAAGGCAGCCCCCUGGGUCAAGACUGACGCUCAUGCACGAAAGCGUGGGGAGCAAACAGG
RNAcentral lists this ribosomal RNA (253 nucleotides) under uncultured bacterium. Its description in RNAcentral is "partial 16S ribosomal RNA". It matches the Rfam family "Bacterial small subunit ribosomal RNA", at positions 524 to 776 of the family's 1533-position model. The record is from RNAcentral.